Molecule: long non-coding RNA, 1289 nt
Organism: Aphis gossypii (cotton aphid)
Lineage: Eukaryota; Metazoa; Arthropoda; Insecta; Hemiptera; Aphididae
Exons: 4
Source: RefSeq, a predicted model, not a curated record
AAAAAGUAAGAACACCAAGAACAUAAUAUUUUAUUUUUAAUGUUAAAUUAUAUAAUGUAUGAAAAUCAAGUAAUAAAAUUAUUAAGCAAUAAGUAGGAUGUUUGAAAUAAGGUUUAAGGUCAGGGAAUGAAAGUUGGGCACCCAAGUUUGUGGCCAUGGACAUAUUAGCUGCUGUACCAUCAAAAGUCAGUGUUUUUACACAAGUUCCAGUAUCAUGAACAAAUGAUAAAACUGUACAUAAUAAAUUUGCUUUCUCCUGUGAGUUUAAACCAUUGACUAAAAAGUAUGCUACUGGAAUUUUCCAAUUGGAAUUUAUAGCUACUAACAUGAAAACUAACGUUUCUUUGGCCCUAGAUGUGAAUCCAGGAGUGCCGUCUACAGUAGAGUACCAAUUUCUUAAAGUGCUUGGAUGAGGAAGGUUUUUAUUAAAAGCACCAUGUACAUAAUUAUAUGCAGCUUGGGAAUAAAAAUGUAAAGUGAGUGCAAAUUUUCGAAUUUCAGGAGUAAUUAUUUUACAAGUGGCAAUUUUUAAUUGUUUCAUAAUAAUAUCACUUUAAAAAUUUGGCAAAGACUCCUGUAAUUUAAUAAAUGAAACCACUAUAAAUAUAUUUAACAAUAAAACACAACACAUAAAAUCUAGUACCUACAAACAUGCACCACAAAAGAAAUUAAGCAACUUUAAAACACUAAUAUUUAUUUAACAUAACUAAAUCUAUGUAAAAUAUAUUUAGCAUGGAGCCUGGUGUGGCAAAGUGGUUGACCGCAGCACUGAUUAUAAAAAUCAAUGAAUAUAAAAAUGUAUGUUUAAUCAAUGACCACAGUCACUGAUAUGUGUUGCAGUCAAACACCAUCUUGUACUUCUGGCUCACGGAUAAGUGACCAACUGGGUUCUUGGUUUACAUAAACGCAGGUUGUUCCUCAACCAACCGAAAAAGAAAUAAAUAUUAUUUUUAACAUGCACCACAAGACAGUAUAGAAGAUCAUAUUAUAAAAUAAUCUAACCUUAAGUACAGAAAAACAAUUAUCUGAGAUCAGUCUUUUUUCAUCUUUUAAUAGCAAUCCAAUAUUUCAGCCUACUAUUUGGACUAUCUAUCUUAGCAAUGUCUUUGAAAUCACCCAAAAAAUAUUUGCGUUUCCUAAAAACAAGUAAAGUAUACAUGUUUAAAUCUUUAAAUUCAAUAUUGUAUAAUAUCAUCAUAUUAGUACUUUUUUAAUUAAAUAAUAAAAAAUAUUUAAAAAAUACACAUAUACCUUUUUUUUUGUGGAUAUAGGUGUAUUAAUAAUAUUGG